GUUUUUUUUUAUUUAUUAUUGUUUCAGUUUAAAAAUUUUCAUUCUUGUUAAGUUAAUAUCCAUAGAUUAUUUUUAACGUUAGAACAAAUGGACAUGGUGAAGGUUAAUCCCACAGUAGAGUCUUUUCUAUUUAUCGUUGCUUAGACACUAAUUCAUGAAUUAUACUUUGAACUUUGCACAUCACACCAACAUGGUUUGUGGGGAGUGAGAUUGAAACACUUACUUUCAGUCUAAGUUUAUUUUUAAUUUUUGUUUUAAGUAAAGUUAGUUAUUAUUGUGAAUAAAGUAAUAAUUGUCUCACCCGAGGUUUUGCCUAGUAACCGGGCCAGU
This 330-nucleotide long non-coding RNA is filed under the name Malus domestica (apple). Its description in RNAcentral is "long non-coding RNA (MDOM_LNC003751)". Lineage: Eukaryota; Viridiplantae; Streptophyta; Magnoliopsida; Rosales; Rosaceae. The record is from RNAcentral.